Molecule: ribosomal RNA, 750 nt
Filed under: uncultured bacterium
Lineage: Bacteria
Description: bacterial SSU rRNA
Rfam family: Bacterial small subunit ribosomal RNA
Source: RNAcentral
GUCGAACGGUAGAGGGGGCAACCCCUCGAGAGUGGCGAACGGGUGAGUAAUAUAUCGGAACGUGCCCAGUCGUGGGGGAUAACGUAGCGAAAGUUACGCUAAUACCGCAUACGAUCUACGGAUGAAAGCGGGGGACCGUAAGGCCUCGCGCGAUUGGAGCGGCCGAUAUCAGAUUAGGUAGUUGGUGGGGUAAAGGCUCACCAAGCCAACGAUCUGUAGCUGGUCUGAGAGGACGACCAGCCACACUGGAACUGAGACACGGUCCAGACUCCUACGGGAGGCAGCAGUGGGGAAUUUUGGACAAUGGACGCAAGUCUGAUCCAGCCAUUCCGCGUGCAGGAUGAAGGCCCUCGGGUUGUAAACUGCUUUUGUACGGAACGAAAAGGUCUCUCUUAAUACGAGGGGCUCAUGACGGUACCGUAAGAAUAAGCACCGGCUAACUACGUGCCAGCAGCCGCGGUAAUACGUAGGGUGCAAGCGUUAAUCGGAAUUACUGGGCGUAAAGCGUGCGCAGGCGGUUAUGUAAGACAGAGGUGAAAUCCCCGGGCUCAACCUGGGAACUGCCUUUGUGACUGCAUAGCUAGAGUACGGUAGAGGGGGAUGGAAUUCCGCGUGUAGCAGUGAAAUGCGUAGAUAUGCGGAGGAACACCGAUGGCGAAGGCAAUCCCCUGGACCUGUACUGACGCUCAUGCACGAAAGCGUGGGGAGCAAACAGGAUUAGAUACCCUGGUAGUCCACGCCCUAAACGAU